This is a long non-coding RNA of Manacus vitellinus (golden-collared manakin), 160 nucleotides long. RefSeq lists it as uncharacterized. Lineage: Eukaryota; Metazoa; Chordata; Aves; Passeriformes; Pipridae. The transcript is spliced from 3 exons. The record is from RefSeq and is a predicted model, not a curated record.
CAGGUGCAGGAGCUGAUCAUCAACAAGGACCCGACACUGCUGGACAACUUCCUGGAUGAAAUCAUCGCCUUCCAGGCCGACAAAUCCAUCGAGGUCCGCAAGUUCGUGGUGGGAUUCAUCGAGGAGGCCUGCAAGCGGGACAUGGAGCUGCUGCAGAAGC